This 431-nucleotide ribosomal RNA is filed under the name uncultured bacterium. RNAcentral's name for it is "bacterial SSU rRNA". It matches the Rfam family "Bacterial small subunit ribosomal RNA", at positions 33 to 507 of the family's 1533-position model. The record is from RNAcentral.
ACGCUGGCGGUGUGCUUCACACAUGCAAGUCGAACGAGGUAGCAAUACCUAGUGGCGGACGGGUGAGUAACGCGUGGGAAUCUGCAUUUAGAUGGGGGAUAACGGGUCGAAAGACUCGCUAAUACCGCAUAUGACGAAAGUUGAAAGGAGUAAUCCGUCUAAAGAUGAGCCCGCGUCCGAUUAGCUAGUUGGUAGAGUAAAAGCCUACCAAGGCGACGAUCGGUAGCUGGUCUGAGAGGAUGAUCAGCCACAAUGGGACUGAGACACGGCCCAUACUCCUACGGGAGGCAGCAGUGGGGAAUUUUACGCAAUGGGCGAAAGCCUGACGUAGCGACACCGCGUGAGCGAAGAAGCCCCUUGGGGUGUAAAGCUCUGUCAGCUGGAACGAAAAAAUGACGGUACCAGCAGAGGAAGCAUCGGCUAACUACGUG